Molecule: ribosomal RNA, 492 nt
Filed under: uncultured bacterium
Lineage: Bacteria
Description: partial 16S ribosomal RNA
Rfam family: Bacterial small subunit ribosomal RNA
Source: RNAcentral
AGUGAACGCUGGCGGUAGGCCUAACACAUGCAAGUCGAACGGCAGCACAGUAAGAGCUUGCUCUUACGGGUGGCGAGUGGCGGACGGGUGAGGAAUACAUCGGAAUCUACUUUUUCGUGGGGGAUAACGUAGGGAAACUUACGCUAAUACCGCAUACGACCUACGGGUGAAAGCAGGGGAUCUUCGGACCUUGCGCGAUUGAAUGAGCCGAUGUCGGAUUAGCUAGUUGGCGGGGUAAAGGCCCACCAAGGCGACGAUCCGUAGCUGGUCUGAGAGGAUGAUCAGCCACACUGGAACUGAGACACGGUCCAGACUCCUACGGGAGGCAGCAGUGGGGAAUAUUGGACAAUGGGCGCAAGCCUGAUCCAGCCAUGCCGCGUGGGUGAAGAAGGCCUUCGGGUUGUAAAGCACUUUUGUUGGGGAAGAAAAGCAGCAGGUUAAUACCCCGCUGUUCUGACGGUACCCAAAGAAUAAGCACCGGCUAACUUCGUG